GAAAGGUCAUUGGCUCUGGUUUCGGUGCUCCAAUGACAUUCUCUCUUAUAGUACAAAUAAAUAGUCUCAAAUUUGUUAUCUUGUUGAUGUUUGUGAUAUUUAUGUAGGCGUGCAGGUUGGGGUGAAGCUGUUUAUGAUUUGAUGUAGCUAAUUUUUGCAGACUAACUAUUGCUUUGUUUUGCUUUCAAAGAGCUCUGGUCUUUGGAGUUCGGCCAAACAGAAAACAAAACUAAAGCUCGGUCCUUACUUUUCUGAGAGACACAAAAGCUUGAGCCUUCUUCUAUCCAAACUAUUGGGUUGUCACUCUCUUGCAUGUUUGCUUUUUCUUCUGCAGCUUGGUGUGGGUUUGCAGUUUUGAGUCUGAUCUUAGGGUUUUGGAACCUACUCUUUUGGUUGAGGUUUCCGUUUAUCUGUUUGUUUGUUCCUGUGCUUAAGAGUUUUUGUGUGGUUGAUCUGCCUGGUACAUGGAAUGUUAGGUUUUCCUUACAAAGUCGAUCUUCAUGCAUCGGCUAAAGAAACGAUUGGAAUACUACUGAAAAUUUCCUGAUAUCCUUCUUUUCUCCAAGUAUGUAGCGGGGUUUCGAUCAGUUCUGAUGUGCCAGGAAGAGGAAGAGGUAUCUGGAAGAUUUUUCCUUUUCUUUACACUAGUCUAUCAUCUGUAAAAUUUGACCGUUCCUUAAUAUUGGCUUAAACUCUUAAACCUUAAAUGCAAAAAUUCUGGGUUUAAAGUUUCAAGCUUCAAAGGAUUUUGAUUAUUAUUUAAAGCUUAGUAUCCAGAUUGUUCUCAGUCGAUCAACUGUCAAAUUAUUCAAGGCUGUUCUACAUGUAUAGAUUGGCUUUAAUAGUAUGUAUGCUCCAACAUUAUAAUUUUUCUUGAAGCACUUUCUACUGAUCUGGCUUUCACAAGUCCAUGAAUUUGAUUUUUCACUUGUCAGAUUUCUAUUCAGAUUUGGAGUUUCCAUGAUCACCAACUUUGCAACCCAUAUGUUUGCCCAGUUAUUUGGUCUAUACAAUAUGAUUUAACUCCUUUGAUCUACAAGCUGAGGUUCUAUAUAUGGAAGGUUACAUAUUGUUGAUGUUGGGAUACUAGAUAAAUUUCGUAUCAGCCUGUCAUCCCUGGUGUACCUUUAAUCCAUGGAGCGAGAUCCCUAUCUUGCAUGUGAUAUUGUGUUCAUUAGUAUCAUGCGGCAGAUUUUGGUUACUAGCUACGAGAACAUAUAUUAGUAAUUGUUGUUGAUUUGUGAUUCUAGUGCUGUAGGUCUUAGCUAUGUCAUAUUUGAUCUUAAUCAACAAAGUAAAAUUGGCUCAGUCUGAUACUUUUUCUUGGUGAAUGGUGAUGCUCUUCGAAGUCUGUUUUUGUGCCUGAAUAGGUGAAUUUGUAUGAUGAAGUUUUGGAACAUUGAUACGUUUAUAUCAUUUGCCCUUAUUUUCUUUUCUUUUUGUCUUACAUUUUUUAGGCAUUGACAUGAAAUGUGCGGAACUUGUAUGUCAAUUUUCUUCAUAAUUGUAUUGUGAUUAGUGGAAAACAUGUUAAUCCGGCUUUUAGCAGUUACUGUAUGUGUAUAUAUGACUAUGAGCUGAGCUAUUGGUGGUUUGGAUGACAGAGAGAGAGAGUACACUUGUCAGCAUCCAUGAAAACCCCUCUCUUUGUCAUCGUACUGCUGUUGUCCUGGUCUAUCCUCGAUGCUAUGUUUCAUGUAUUUGCAUCUUUGGGAUGUAAACUAGCUGAUAAGCUUAUAACAUUGUGUAAUUUGUCAUUUAUCUUUGUCAAUCAUAUUAUUUAUUCCAGAAUGGUUUCCAUUAGCCUUUUUGUUGGUUGAUGUCUUGUUAUGAUAUGGAGAUUACAUGUUGAUGAAGUAGAGUGGUCAUUGUUCAUGGAUCAAUCUCUUAGUACAUCAACAUGGAUGCAUUAUCUUGUUAAUUACAUUCAGUUGCAUGUUUGGAAAACUAAAAUAUUUUGGCUUAGUGUUCAGCAAUUCAAUUUUACAUAAUUAAAUUUUUCGACCUCAAUAAAAUUUUGACUAAAGUAAUUUCAAUAAAAAUUUCUAUGUACUUUUAAUCUUCUUCUUUUUUUUUUUCCUUUUCUUUUGUAAGAACUAUGUCAAUAGGACUGGAACAUGAGGUGUGGCAGUGAUAUAAGAUGAUUAGAUUAGGUUGAGAUCAACAUUCAGGUAUGAGUAGUAGGGAUGCAAAACAUUCAACAGUCGGCUUUGUUUCACUUGAAGUAUGGAAUUGAUAUUUUACUGCUGACCACAAAACCAAACAUUAGAGUUCAUUUGAGCUAAACAACUGGUAUGCGAUAUUAUACAUGAGAAUUUAUUUGCUUGCCAAGUUUUUCAAAACUAUUGUGUUGGAUAUAGUUAAAUUAUUACAUAUAUACAAGUAAUAAACAGACAGAAGACUGUAUGGAAACAGCAACAGCAUGAUUGCUAAUAUGAUUACAAACAAUGAUAGUCAUGAGCUUGAGGAACAUCAAAGGGAAGUGCUGAAUUGGAGGUUGCAUGUUGAUGUUGUGACUCGGGACUUUCUUGCGUGUGAUACUGUGUUAAUUUCAUGUGGUGGUUUUGGUGACUUUUUUCCGGCAGCUGGUGGGUUUUGAGGACCAGUUGGUAGUACAUUAUAUGUAGUUGUACAUUUAUGAUCAUGGUUGAUGUGUGAUGUACUGUUGGUCUUUUUUUUUGUUUUUUUGUCAUUUUACUAUUGGUCUUAACUAUGUUUAUCUGAUUAUAUCAACCAAGUACGGUAUUUCCAUCUUUUUCUUCUUUGGCUUUUGCUUUCUGUUUUUGGCUGUUUGUUUCUUUUCUUUUGAUUUCUCUAGUCUUCUUUUGCUUGCUUUGCAGACUUUGUCUGGAUUGGGCUGUGUCCCAUGAACUGUUGUUUGGCCAUGUGCCUUGUGACUAAAAAAAAGUACAGUGGUCCAGUCUGGGGGUUUCUCUAGGAAUAAGAACAAAUGACUGGCAAAGGCGAGGUGUGGCGGAGAUUAAGUUGAUGAACAGUCUGCAAGAUUGUAAAAGGCUACCUUAAGGCACGCUUUCUGCCUAGGCAUAGGCUAAAUGCAGCGAUGGCUCUGGUAAAAGCAAGCAGGCACAAAAAUUGCACAGGAGGAGGGAAAAGCUUAAGCCUCAGGAGCUUAGUUGAUAAGUCCUCAGGUUUUGGAUUUCUUCAGUGUUCAUGGGAUCUAAAUGGAAAUGUUCCUUAUAAAAUAUUUGUUGGAAGCUGCUGUUCAAGCAAUGCAUGGUUGUGAAUUCUAAUCCCAACUGAAACCCAGGCUUAAAGGUCUUUUGUGCAUGCUGGAUGAUUGUCUAAACGGCGGGAGUUUAACAACAGUAGGAAUGUGACAGACGAAGACAAACAUGCCCGGUACAAAUAUAUCACGGACGUUCCAAGUUAAAGGAUAUCAGGCGUGCUAGAGACUUUUUCAGCCUUUCAAGUAUAUUUGCAUCUUGUCUGGUUUCGUAUGUGGCCGUGGGACAGGUUUCCUUUCCAAUCUUGGAUGACAAUCUUGUGAUGGAGCACUGUGACCGUUGGAUGCACUAAACGUCCUUAAGACCAUACCCAGUGCAUCCAGUUGUAGGUUAUGGCAUGUAAACAUCUCUAUAUUCGGGAAUCUUGAGUUUUGUUUUCCAAUACCGAGUGUCCCAAAAUCUGUAACCUGAACUAAAAAGGGAGAAUUCCAUAUCUCCAACCCUUCAAUGCAGAAUAUGAAAAUCCUGAAA
This is an RNA transcript of Rosa chinensis, 3716 nucleotides long. RefSeq lists it as uncharacterized. Lineage: Eukaryota; Viridiplantae; Streptophyta; Magnoliopsida; Rosales; Rosaceae. The transcript is spliced from 5 exons. The record is from RefSeq and is a predicted model, not a curated record.